UGCUCUGGCUGAAGGCAAAGAUCCUCCAGCUUUAAGUGGAAGUUCUGAUAUCCGAGCUAUGAACAUGGAGGAUUUCAGAUACGCACAUGAACGGGUGGGUUCGAGCGUUUCAUCAGAGUCUGUGAACACGACAGAGCUUCAACAAUGGAACGAACUCAACGGGGAAGGUGGAUCCAGAAGGCAGCAAUCACUCAGCUACUACAUGUAGCCUCCCUAGGAUUGAAUCUACGUUAGAAAACCAUAGCUCAAUUUUCGUCUCAAAAAAAAGAAUGUACAAUUUUCAAUUUUUCAGGGUGAACAGAAUAAUACAAUAAGUGAAAGUGGUUGAAUUAGAUUUGUUUUGAA
Camelina sativa (false flax) is the source of this 345-nucleotide non-coding RNA. NCBI's taxonomy places the organism in Eukaryota, Viridiplantae, Streptophyta, Magnoliopsida, Brassicales, Brassicaceae. The record is from RefSeq and is a predicted model, not a curated record.